GUUUAUUCAAGAGCAGUGUGGGGAAAAGUGAGGAUGGCCUAUGUUAUCUAGGCAAAAACGGAGGUGCUAAACAGAAUUACAAGGUUUUCCAUACAAAGGCUAACGUCCAAAUCCAAGACUCGUUUGGCCACCUUGAUUACACUCUAAGGGGAUUGCUUAGCAUUCACUUGUAAAAAGGUAACAAUCCCCAGGGUCUCUGUCUCCAAAGUCGUUCAGGUUUGAAUAACGAGUAGGGGAUCUGGUUAAUAUGUAACAUUUCAACACAAAGAUCAGGAAGCGAGGGUCCAAAAACAGCCAGUGUUAUAUGACUCCUCAUCCAAGGCUUAAAUUUUCCCCUGGCCAUAAUACAUUUGGAAGUCCUGAAAUUUUAUUUUCUUUUUACAAUUUUGAUGUUGCACAUUCUAGAAAUACACUAGCCUGGGUGCUAGAGCGAAGAAAGCCUUCCAGACAAUUCUGACUAUCUCUUCAUUUCCUCAUUCAAUAAAUAGGCAUACUGUGUGCUUGCUCCAAGCCACUUCACAGAUAAAGACACUGAACUCAGAGAGCCAAGCGCCUUGGCAAGUCACUUCAUCCCUCUGGACUUUGGCUGCUUUAAGUGUGAAAUGAGAACAAUACAACUGGCUUUACUGGUCUUCUGGGAGACUUCCUUGAGAACCUGGCAUAUGACAGGGUCUCACCCUGUCACCCAGGCUGGAGUGCAGUGGUAUAAACAUGGCUCACUUCUGUCAAGCCUGGCCUUUGCUUCAUUCUGUACCCUGAACUUCUGGAAGCAGAAACAUAAGAACUGGCACUGUGUGCUCUAAAGACAAAGAAUAAAUGAGUGAAAGAUGAAUAAAUAAAUGACCGAAUCAACAUAAGAACAAUGAAUGAAGAUCACCCAGAAAAACCUUGGGCUUUGGAAUCAAAAGAGAUGUCUGGUUCCAGUCUCAGCCAGGCCAGGGCCUUGCAGCGUAGCCUCUCUGGUUCUUGAUUUGCUCCUUCAUCAAAUGGUGUCAUAAACAGCUCCCUCUUAAGGUUGUGGGGAGAAUAAAAUAAAAUAAUCUGCGUGGAAACUCUUUGUUAACUUAAUAGCAUUUUGUAUAGGAAGACAUGUGUUUCACAUAAAUUUAGGGUGCCACAAAAGAAGUAGCACUCGAAUAUAAAUUUCCUCAGCAAGGCAAUUUAUUUCUAUAAAAGGGUGCAGCUCACAGAUGGAAUGAUGGUGAGCACACACCUGGACAAGGGAGAGGAAGGGGUACUUAUGCCUGAUGGAGGUCACCCCUACUGCUGUGUCGUUCCCUAUUGGCUAGGGUUCGACUUCACAGUCUAGUCUAAUUCCAAUUGAUUAUUUUAAAGGGAGCAGGGGUAUAAGCCAGAGUGGUGGGGUGGGGAGGAAGGGAAGGUUUGGCGGGAAAGACAGUUACAGGCAGGUCAAAGCAGGUGACCAGAGCAGGUGACUGGAAUGAGUCAGGAUGGGGCGGGGGACCAGGAGAACAGAUGUGAACUGCUGAUUAGAACUGGUGGAAAAGCUUGUUAACUGAAACUACAAGGAAGUUAAACUUUAAAAUGGAGAAUUAAAUAAUAAGAGAGCUGAACAUACUGACACACUGAUUAUUUGAAGAGAAACCAGGGGGGUUCACUAUAUCUAACAUAUGCAAUGUCUUGUCCAAACCAGAAUAGUUGAGAAAGAAAGGGAGCAUUACUAACAAUGACUUUAAGUCCCUCUGAAGGCAGGACCAUUCUCAUUCUAAGGAUGCAAAUUAUUACUUUGGCUUCUGUCAUCAGCGGUGCCAGGUUAGAAAUAGCCAGGUCCAGGCCGAGGUGGGCGGAUCACGAGGUCAAGAGAUUGAGACCAUCCUGGCCAACAUGAUGAAACCCCAUAUCUACUAAAAAUACAAAAAUAAGCUGGACGUGGUGGCACGUGCCUGUAGUCCCAGCUACUCAGGAGGCUGAGGCAGGAGAAUUGCUUGAACCCAGGAGGUGGAGGUUGCAGUCCAGCCUGGCUCCUGGUGACAGAUCAAGACUCUGUCUCAGAAAAAAAAAAGAAAUAGCCAGGUUGACACAUGCUUGUCUUUCCACAAUGUCAGGCUUUUAUCGAUUGUGAUUCAGUCCCCCAAAGCCACGAGUUCUGUGGUGUUCCCAAGGAGGCAGUUCUCCUUAGUUCUUCCAUUUACUCGGUAGUAAGAGCUGCGGACACACGGGCACAAGCCACUCUUUAAGUCAGUCAAUACUCCCAACCACGCAUGAUAGUGUACUUGAUCAAUAUAUAAGUGUUAUAGAUUAAAACAUUCCACAACAAACAAUGUAGCAUUUAACAUCAAGGGGAAAAAGAGAUAGGAGAAAGGGUUAAUAAAGCAGUCCAGGGG
Molecule: long non-coding RNA, 2345 nt
Filed under: Callithrix jacchus (white-tufted-ear marmoset)
Lineage: Eukaryota; Metazoa; Chordata; Mammalia; Primates; Cebidae
Description: lncRNA (ENSCJAG00000078091.1)
Source: RNAcentral